Molecule: ribosomal RNA, 274 nt
Filed under: uncultured bacterium
Lineage: Bacteria
Description: partial 16S ribosomal RNA
Rfam family: Bacterial small subunit ribosomal RNA
Source: RNAcentral
AUACGGAGGGUGCAAGCGUUAUUCGGAAUCACUGGGCGUAAAUGACGCGUAGGCGGGUUGGCAAGUCAGAUGUGAAAUCCUACAGCUUAACAGUAGAACUGCAUUUGAAACUGCUAACCUAGAGUAUGGGAGGGGGAGAUGGAAUUAGUGGUGUAGGGGUAAAAUCCGUAGAUAUCACUAGGAAUACCGAAAGCGAAGGCGAUCUCCUGGAACAUAACUGACGCUAAGGCGUGAAAGCGUGGGGAGCAAACAGGAUUAGAUACCCUAGUAGUCC